Molecule: ribosomal RNA, 1452 nt
Filed under: metagenome
Description: bacterial SSU rRNA
Rfam family: Bacterial small subunit ribosomal RNA
Source: RNAcentral
AGGACGAACGCUGGCGGCACGCUUAACACAUGCAAGUCGAACGAGAGAAGAGGAGCUUGCUUUUCUGAUCUAGUGGCGGACGGGUGAGUAACACGUGAGCAAUCUGCCUUUCAGAGGGGGAGACCGAUUGGAAACGAUCGUUAAUACCGCAUAACAUAAUUGAACCGCAUGAUUUGAUUAUCAAAGAUUUAUCGCUGAAAGAUGAGCUCGCGUCUGAUUAGCUAGUUGGUAAGGUAACGGCUUACCAAGGCGACGAUCAGUAGCCGGACUGAGAGGUUGAUCGGCCACAUUGGGACUGAGACACGGCCCAGACUCCUACGGGAGGCAGCAGUGGGGAAUAUUGCACAAUGGAGGAAACUCUGAUGCAGCGAUGCCGCGUGAGGGAAGAAGGUUUUAGGAUUGUAAACCUCUGUCUUCAGGGACGAAAAAAGACGGUACCUGAGGAGGAAGCUCCGGCUAACUACGUGCCAGCAGCCGCGGUAAUACGUAGGGAGCGAGCGUUGUCCGGAAUUACUGGGUGUAAAGGGAGCGUAGGCGGGAUCGCAAGUCAGAUGUGAAAACUAUGGGCUUAACCCAUAAACUGCAUUUGAAACUGUGGUUCUUGAGUGAAGUAGAGGUAAGCGGAAUUCCUAGUGUAGCGGUGAAAUGCGUAGAUAUUAGGAGGAACAUCAGUGGCGAAGGCGGCUUACUGGGCUUUAACUGACGCUGAGGCUCGAAAGCGUGGGGAGCAAACAGGAUUAGAUACCCUGGUAGUCCACGCCGUAAACGAUGAUUACUAGGUGUGGGGGGACUGACCCCUUCCGUGCCGCAGCAAACGCAAUAAGUAAUCCACCUGGGGAGUACGACCGCAAGGUUGAAACUCAAAGGAAUUGACGGGGGCCCGCACAAGCAGUGGAGUAUGUGGAUUAAUUCGAAGCAACGCGAAGAACCUUACCAGGUCUUGACAUCGUAUGCAUAGCUCAGAGAUGAGUGAAAUCUCUUCGGAGACAUAUAGACAGGUGGUGCAUGGUUGUCGUCAGCUCGUGUCGUGAGAUGUUGGGUUAAGUCCCGCAACGAGCGCAACCCUUACUGUUAGUUGCUACGCAAGAGCACUCUAGCAGGACUGCCGUUGACAAAACGGAGGAAGGUGGGGAUGACGUCAAAUCAUCAUGCCCCUUAUGACCUGGGCCUCACACGUACUACAAUGGCUGUCAACAGAGGGAAGCAAAGCCGCGAGGUGGAGCGAACCCCUAAAAGCAGUCUUAGUUCGGAUUGUAGGCUGCAACCCGCCUACAUGAAGUCGGAAUUGCUAGUAAUCGCAGAUCAGCAUGCUGCGGUGAAUACGUUCCCGGGCCUUGUACACACCGCCCGUCACGCCAUGGGAGUCGGUAACACCCGAAGCCUGUAGUCUAACCGCAAGGAGGACGCAGUCGAAGGUGGGAUUGAUGACUGGGGUGAAGUCGUAACAAGGUA